Ipomoea triloba (trilobed morning glory) is the source of this 1765-nucleotide long non-coding RNA. RefSeq lists it as uncharacterized. The transcript has 2 exons. NCBI's taxonomy places the organism in Eukaryota, Viridiplantae, Streptophyta, Magnoliopsida, Solanales, Convolvulaceae. The record is from RefSeq and is a predicted model, not a curated record.
AGCAAUACUCCCGACUGGUUUUCUCCAUAAUAUUCAACUUUUGCUGUCUAAACACACUCUUCUCCACUCCAAAUUCCUCCUAAGACUUCAAGUUCUCCAAAUGGCCCCAAGACCAAGAAUUUGCAAAAGACAAAGGGGGGAAACAUCUCAAGCAAGGGAACAACCUCAAGCUGCACAGUUUUAAAUUUUUAACACCCCUGUGGCUCGAGACAGAUAUCAAACAUGGAUCUCCAAGAAGCAAAUCAAAUCGGAGAAGGGGUUGGAAAUUGUGGUACCCGAAGCAUAGAACUCGGGGAAUAGAUUUUUGGCUCAAUCGGGCGAUGCAUUUGACUCAAUAGUGCGUGAAUUUUAUGCAAAUGCCAAAGAUAGAAUGCAGACAAAUCAAUGCAUCGUUAGGGGUGUAAGAGUAGAUUUUUCUCCUGCGACUAUCAACGCUUACUAUGGCACAACCGAAGUAGUCAAUACCCUGUAAAAAAAUAAAAAUAAGAGAACAACUAGUCAAUAAUCUACAAGCCAUAUUACAACUUUCCCACCAAAUAAGCAUCAAAAGAAGUAGAACAAUAAUGUCUAGAAGCUAUACAUGAAGGCUAUUUAGGGAGGGAUUCCAACGGCGCAAUAGAAACCCUAUCAUGAAGGCUUGAAUGCUUGACUAAACAUCUAAUUUCGGUACACACCAUGAACAUAACACGAAACUUUAGUUGAUUCUCGGUGAUGGUGUUGGAGAAAAACAACAAAAGAAGAGAAAAAUAGAGAAAUUACCAAUGAUUCCUGAGCAGCAAAUUAACACUUGGAAACCUAGAAAAAGAUUUCCAUUGCUUGUAUGCCUGUUGUUUUCACCCGGUGGGGUUUGCCUAAACAAAGAGUAGACCCAAAAUGUGACUGUCACCUGAGCUUCAGCCUUUUAGACAAUCGGGUAGAGAGAAGAGAUAGAGGAAGGUGGUGUAUGGUUUUGGAAAUUUGGGGAUGAAUUGUGCGCCCAGGCACAGGGAAGAGACAACAUUUAAAAUUUUGGGAAGCAAAUUUGGGUAUGGCGCCAUUAGAUAAUUUUUUUUUUUGUAGUGUUAAUUAUUUUUAAGAGUUAAUUACUGAUUUGAUCCUUCGACUAUGAGAAUUUCAUCAGGUUGGUUCUUGACUUUUAAAAUUGUUCAAUUGCAUCCUUAACUAUGCAAACGUUAACCAAAAUGGUCCGGUAUGUGAGCCUUCAGCCCCCCCUUGGUGUAGCCGUGGCCCUGGUGAUCGAUGGCGCAUACAACGAACCCUUGUUUUGCGAUGUGCACGGCGGUGAGCUGGAUGAGCCAGUUGGAGUGGUGAUUUAGUGCUCACCCUUAGUGUUCUGAUUCUCUUGGUGGCAAGGUUACUCCCCGGGUGGAACACGCUCCUCCACACGUUCUCCUUACGCGUCCUCGGCGUUGUGGGGCUCGCCGGCAUCGUCAUCGACCUUUGGUACUUGCUGCUCGAUCCUUCCCAAGCUUUCACACUUGUUUGAACGGAAAGGGUUUUGCGAGCUUGUCGAGGACGGAUUUGGGCUGAGGUCUGGCCAUAACGUCAUCCCACAGCUUCUCUAGCAUCUUUCCUCUCUAUUUUUUCUAUGUUCUAAGCUCAAUUGUUUUUUCAUCUCAACUUUUAAUUUAUAGAUUUUGAGAUUAGGGGUUAGCUUUUAGGAUUUAGGGGCUUCUCUUUCUUUGUUCUGUAAAUGAAGCCAACAACUGAGAUGAAAAGGAACACCUGAGAAGGCAAAGCCAAUGAAAUUACAUUUCUAUCCUCA